Molecule: transfer RNA, 72 nt
Filed under: Camelus bactrianus (Bactrian camel)
Lineage: Eukaryota; Metazoa; Chordata; Mammalia; Artiodactyla; Camelidae
Also listed under: 1 other name
Rfam family: tRNA
About the family: Transfer RNA (tRNA) molecules are approximately 80 nucleotides in length. Their secondary structure includes four short double-helical elements and three loops (D, anti-codon, and T loops).
Source: Rfam by way of RNAcentral
GAAGGUAGAGCUUAGUGGUAGAGCACAUGCCUGGCGUUCACAAAGUGCUGGGUACAAUCCCCAGUACCUCCA